RNAcentral lists this ribosomal RNA (301 nucleotides) under uncultured bacterium. RNAcentral's name for it is "partial 16S ribosomal RNA". It matches the Rfam family "Bacterial small subunit ribosomal RNA", at positions 509 to 807 of the family's 1533-position model. The record is from RNAcentral.
CAGCCGCCGCGGUAAUACGAAGGGGGCUAGCGUUGUUCGGAAUCACUGGGCGUAAAGCGCACGUAGGCGGACAUUUAAGUCAGGGGUGAAAGCCUGGAGCUCAACUCCAGAACUGCCCUUGAUACUGGGUGUCUCGAGUCCGGAAGAGGUAAGUGGAACUGCGAGUGUAGAGGUGAAAUUCGUAGAUAUUCGCAAGAACACCAGUGGCGAAGGGGGCUUACUGGUCCGGUACUGACGCUGAGGUGCGAAAGCGUGGGGAGCAAACAGGAUUAGAUACCCCCGUAGUCCCUGUCUCUUAUAC